This 470-nucleotide ribosomal RNA is filed under the name uncultured bacterium. RNAcentral describes it as "bacterial SSU rRNA". It matches the Rfam family "Bacterial small subunit ribosomal RNA", at positions 29 to 506 of the family's 1533-position model. The record is from RNAcentral.
ACGAACGUUGGCGGCGUGGAUUAGGCAUGCAAGUCGAGCGAGGACUAUUCCUGUAGCAAUACAGGGGUAGAGCCGAGCGGCGAAAGGGGCAGUAAGGCAUGGGUAACCUACCCCGGGGAUCGGGAUAGCCAUUCUAACGAGUGGGUAAUACCGGGCGAUUUGACGGAGUCGCAUGGCUCUAUCAGGAAAUGAAUUUCGCCUCGGGAGGGGCUCAUGUGGUAUUAGCUAGUUGGUAGGGUAAUGGCCUACCAAGGCAAAGAUGCCUAGCUGGUGUGAGAGCACGACCAGCGCCACUGGCACUGAGACACUGGCCAGACACCUACGGGUGGCUGCAGUCGAGAAUCUUCGGCAAUGGGCGCAAGCCUGACCGAGCGACGCCGCGUGUGCGAUGAAGGCCUUCGGGUUGUAAAGCACUGUCAGGGGGGAUAAAUCAAUGAUAGAUCCCCAGAGGAAGCACGGGCUAAGUUCGU